Molecule: unclassified non-coding RNA, 329 nt
Filed under: soil metagenome
Description: partial contains 5.8S ribosomal RNA, internal transcribed spacer 2, and large subunit ribosomal RNA
Rfam family: 5.8S ribosomal RNA (bases 1-120)
Source: RNAcentral
GAUGAAGAACGCAGUGAAAUGCGAUAAGUAAUGUGAAUUGCAGAAUUCAGUGAAUCAUCGAAUCUUUGAACGCACAUUGCGCCCCCUGGUAUUCCGGGGGGCAUGCCUGUCCGAGCGUCAUUACAACCCUCAAGCUCAGCUUGGUGUUGGGCCCCGCCGCCCCGGCGGGCCCUAAAGUCAGUGGCGGUGCCGUCCGGCUCCGAGCGUAGUAAUUCUUCUCGCUCUGGAGGCCCGGCCGCGUGCCCGCCAGCAACCCCCAAUUUUUUUCAGGUUGACCUCGGAUCAGGUAGGGAUACCCGCUGAACUUAAGCAUAUCAAUAAGCGGAGGA